UUCUAUUCAUCAAAUGCAGAAGUUGAUCGUUCUGCCAUACACUUCGCAACGUGCGCCGAUGAGUCGAGCUGCUAUAAACUAGAGAACGGGACCGUGAGCGAGCUUCAUUCAACGCGCGACUGCCGUCUGGAGCUGACGUAUUUCCUGUUUUAUUGCCGUUCGCAACUGAACGGAUAGGUUUCAAUCAUUCAGCCAUGGUUCACAAGGAUCAUUACAAAACCGUGAAUGACGAUGAAGAUGCUCCAUGGGUGAAAGAGCCCACGAUAAAGAUCGUUAACGGUGACCGCAAUGCACUCGAUCCUGUCAUCGUGAAACGUGACGAAAAUAUCGAGCGCGGCAAUUGGUCCAACAAAUUGGAAUUCAUCCUCUCCUGUUUUUCGUACGCUGUCGGUCUAGGCACUAUAUGGCGGUUUCCUUAUCUCUGUUAUCGCAAUGGCGGUGGAGCCUUCCUAAUUCCAUAUGCCAUCAUGUACGUUUUUGCUGGAUUACCUCUCUUCUUUUUUGAACUUUCGUUCGGGCAAUACGCCAGUGAAGGGCCCGUUAGCAUAUGGAAAGUAGCUCCGUUUUUCCAAGGAAUUGGAUAUGCAAUGUUUGUAAUAUCUUUCUUGAUUGGUAUCUACUACAACAUGGUGGUCGCCUGGUCUUUCCGUUAUUUGUUUGCUUCCAUGACGUCUGUUCUUCCAUGGACAUCUUGUGACAAUGUUUGGAAUACCAAAAAUUGUCGAGAUUUUGAUAUUAAAAACUGUACCUUGCUGGAAGGAUUGGUGGAUUCUAGUAGAACAUGUCACAUCAAAUCUGAAGUUAGUGAUUCUUUCUGGAAAGAACUGGAAUUAAUGAAUACCAACAGCAGACUUCCCGCAGAUGAAUACUUCCAUAAACGUGUCCUAGACAUCAGCACGGGCAUCCACGAUUUAGGUCCAAUUAACUGGGAACUAGCACUCUGUCUGCUUCUUGCCUGGGUGUGUGUCUUCUUCGUGCUCCUACGAGGAAUCAAAAGCUUCGGCAAAGCAGUUUAUUUUACUGCUCUGUUCCCCUACUUGAUCCUGACCAUUCUGUUGAUUCGCUCUGCCACACUGCCAGGAUUCGUAGAUGGUAUCAUGUUUUACCUGACACCCCAGUGGAGUAAACUGACCGAGGCCAGUGUCUGGGGAGAUGCAGCCAUGCAAAUAUUCUUUUCUCUGUCGCCCUGUUGGGGAGGAUUGAUUACACUCGCAAGCUACAACCGUUUUCAUAACAACUGUUUCAGGGAUGCCGUAAUUGUGGCAACUGGUAACGUCUUCACAGCGUUCUUUGCCGGCUUUGUAAUCUUUGGUAUCAUUGGUUUCAUGGCAUUUGAGCUUGGCACCACCGUAGAUAAAGUUGCCACCCAAGGAGCUGGACUUGCAUUUGCCGUCUAUCCCGAAGCCGUAGCUCGAUUACCCAUCGCUCCGUUAUGGUCAAUCCUGUUUUUCGUCAUGUUACUUACACUUGGGCUCGGAACGCAAUUUACCGUUUUGGAGACGGUUGUUACAACAAUCGUUGACUUAUGGCCACACAAGCUACGCGGAAAGAAUCACAAGUGGGUACUGCUAGCCAGUGCAACUGUCAUGUUUCUACUUGGGCUUAUAAUGUGCACAAAUGGAGGCAUGUACGUCUUACAGUUGAUCGAUACAUAUGCAGCUACGUUUUCCGCCCUGAUCGUCGGAAUGGCUGAAGUGUGCGUCAUCGCAUGGCAUUAUGGUAUCGAUCGAUUCCUUGACGACAUCAAACUAAUGCUCGGGCAUGACGCACCACCACGCUGGUAUUGGCGAUUCGUUUGGAAAUUUUUCACGCCCGUCAUCAUCGUCGCCAUUUUGGUGUUCACUUUGGUGGACUUCCGAACACUUACGUACGGCGAUUACACUUAUCCUUUGGAGGCGACUAUCGUAGGAUUUCUCAUUGCGUUGUCUUCUGUGGCCAUGGUUCCAAUUGUGGCAGUCUACAAGGUUUUCCAAUUGGAUGGGCCCAUUCUAGAGCGUAUUCGAGUUCUUCUGCAACCAAGCAGUGAUUGGGGCCCAGCUUUACAAAUUCAUCGUAUCGAGGCUGGAGCUCCGACUCACACCGAUUCACAAGUGCCACUGGCUUUACCCAACCACAGAUUUGAAGAGUUAGAAUUGGAGUUGGCUACGGUUUUGGAACGCGACUCGGAAAGUGAUAAUUGGAUUAAUAUGAAAUGUACGGGACCUAAUUAAAGUGACCAUCCAUCUGUCAACACCCCAGCAAACCCGCAUCUAUAACAGCUUAGGUUAAUUAUAGGUUUCUUGUUAAAUUUCACCGCGUGAAAAAGGAUUGCAUCCACGAGUCACACAAUCUCAAUUAUAUGCGAUACUUCAUAGAACCCUGACGAUAAUGCAUGACGUGAUACCUAGGCUUACUGAGGCAUGCUUUCUUGAAAUUCAGCAUGGCGUUGUAAGGGGUAAGAAUACGUUUUGAAUGUGCGUUUAGUGCACUUUACCUUGAAUCAAGGUAUCGCAUGGCGUGACGUUUUUUAAAUGUUUGUCACUUGCAGAUUCAAUGAUAAAUAUCUCGGCGAAUACAUGUCUAAAACUCGUAA
RNAcentral lists this unclassified non-coding RNA (2572 nucleotides) under Daphnia magna. RNAcentral's name for it is "sodium- and chloride-dependent glycine transporter 1, transcript variant X1". The record is from RNAcentral. Lineage: Eukaryota; Metazoa; Arthropoda; Branchiopoda; Diplostraca; Daphniidae.